CCCUAUGGGGUGCAGCAGGCGAGAAAACUUUGCAAUGUGCGAAAGCACGACAAGGUUAAUCCGAGUGGUUUCUGCUAAAGGAACCUUUUGUCAGUCCUAGAAACACUGAUGAAUAAAGGGUGGGCAAGUUCUGGUGUCAGCCGCCGCGGUAAAACCAGCACCUCAAGUGGUCAGGAUGAUUAUUGGGCCUAAAGCAUCCGUAGCCUGCUUUGUUAGUUUUCGGUUAAAUCCAUACGCUCAACGUAUGGGCUGCCGGGAAUACUGCAAAGCUAGGGAGUGGGAGAGGUAGACGGUACUCGGUAGGAAGGGGUAAAAUCCUUUGAUCUAUUGAUGACCACCUGUGGCGAAGGCGGUCUACCAGAACACGUUCGACGGUGAGGGAUGAAAGCUGGGGGAGCAAACCGGAUUAGAUACCCGGGUAGUCCCAGCUGUAAACGAUGCAGACUCGGUGAUGCCCUGGCUUGUGGCCAGUGCAGUGCCGCAGGGAAGCCGUUAAGUUUGCCGCCUGGGAAGUACGUACGCAAGUAUGAAACUUAAAGGAAUUGGCGGGGGGAGCACCACAAGGGGUGAAGCCUGCGGUUCAAUUGGAGUCAACGCCAGAAAUCUUACCCGAAGAGACAGCAGAAUGAAAGGUCAAGCUGGAGACUUUACCAGACAAGCUGAGAAGUAGUGCAUGGCCAA
RNAcentral lists this ribosomal RNA (681 nucleotides) under uncultured marine group I thaumarchaeote. RNAcentral's name for it is "bacterial SSU rRNA". It matches the Rfam family "Archaeal small subunit ribosomal RNA", at positions 321 to 1001 of the family's 1478-position model. Lineage: Archaea; Thermoproteati; Nitrososphaerota. The record is from RNAcentral.